This 505-nucleotide ribosomal RNA is filed under the name uncultured bacterium. RNAcentral describes it as "partial 16S ribosomal RNA". It matches the Rfam family "Bacterial small subunit ribosomal RNA", at positions 28 to 507 of the family's 1533-position model. The record is from RNAcentral.
GACGAACGCUGGCGGCGUGCCUAAUACAUGCAAGUAGAACGCACAGUUUAUACCGUAGCUUGCUACACCAUAGACUGUGAGUUGCGAACGGGUGAGUAACGCGUAGGUAACCUGCCUGGUAGCGGGGGAUAACUAUUGGAAACGAUAGCUAAUACCGCAUAAUAUUGAUUAUUGCAUGAUAAUUGAUUGACAGAUGCUAUUGCAUCCCUACCAGAUGGACCUGCGUUGUAUUAGCUAGUAGGUGAGGUAACGGCUCACCUAGGCGACGAUACAUAGCCGACCUGAGAGGGUGAUCGGCCACACUGGGACUGAGACACGGCCCAGACUCCUACGGGAGGCAGCAGUAGGGAAUCUUCGGCAAUGGACGAAAGUCUGACCGAGCAACGCCGCGUGAGUGAAGAAGGUUUUCGGAUCGUAAAGCUCUGUUGUAAGAGAAGAACGGGUGUGAGAGUGGAAAGUUCACACUGUGACGGCAUCUUACCAGAAAGGGACGGCUAACUACGUG